This is a non-coding RNA of Pelobates cultripes (western spadefoot toad), 6062 nucleotides long. The record is from the annotation of a GenBank genome assembly. Lineage: Eukaryota; Metazoa; Chordata; Amphibia; Anura; Pelobatidae.
GCACCAAAGAAAGCAAAUAAGAUUUUGAAACAAUGUUGCAUUACUACUAGAGUAUCAAAGUACAUUUAAAUACAUGGUACUUAAAAAAGUAAGUACAAAAAAAACAGAAUUUUUUUUCAUUUCUGCGUUUACUGUUUUGUAAAAAUGGCUUUUGGCUGGUCAACCCUUUAAGUCCCGGAUGUUUCACCUUACGGACGAAUGCGUUGGACAUUCGCCUCUGGUACUCAAAGGAUUUUAUAUUUUCUCCAGCUCACAAGUGAAUUUCAGGACAUCCUGAAAGCUUUCAUGAAAUGUUAAAUAAAAGUAAUGACAUUCAAUUUUAGGAUCAGUAAACAAAUUACACUAAACAUUUAUACUGCUUUCUUUUUUUUUUUUUCUUAAAAACCCUGUUAGUUAAAAAUGUUGUGCCAUAUUAACACUAAAAACAUAUUUUCAUAUUAUAGCACUUUACAUUGUAUAUAAUAGGCAUUAAAAGAACAUACAUUGCUAAUAAUACACGUGUAUAAAUAUAGCUAAUUGUAUAUAUAGAUAUAUUUAUACAAACAACAUUUUAGUGCAAGAAUAACAAGACCAGGGCUGUGACUAUACUGUGCUUUAUUAAAAUCACAGCACACUUCACACAGAAUGCUACUCUAAAGAUGUUUUUCCAUUUGCCGUUUAAGUGCAUACCAAAUAACUAAGUGAACAUGGAAAUAAAUAGGAAAGGGGCUGUGAAUAGAUAAUGUCAUGUUCCUGAAGUCUAGUAAAUGUUUGCAUUGAACAUCUCCGUGAAACAUGUUUUAAUGUAAUGCUAAAUAAAUAUUACUUGCUUUUUUUUCUCUACAUUUGCCAGAUCGUUGGCAUUGCCCUCUAAACAGUUAUUAGCUAGAAAAAUAGAAAGUGAUGUCUGACAUUAUUUGUACUUAGUGAAUAGGGAAAAUGAGCAGCUACAAUGGAUAAAAUGCAUUAAAAUUGUUACCAAGAAGCAGAUACAUAACUUAGACUUAGGUGAUUAAAGCAUAAAAAGGCCAAAGCCUUAUACAGUACACUAAUAUCACACUAUAUUCUUAAACUAUAUUCUUUCUAUAAGAACCCAGUUCCGUUUUUUUGUUCUUUUUUUAUGAAGAGCGAUUGCUUCAAUCAAGUGAUAAAGGGCAAUAUAUAUAAUAUGAAAAAAACAACAAAAUAACAUUUCUUUCUUCAAACUACUGUAAAGUGUUCUUGUAUCUAUUAACAAUUUAAGGGAGACAUAUUAAUAUCUUGAUAUACAAACAUACUACUUUUUGGUUUUGUAAUAUAUUGAAUCUAUAAACACAAUACAAGUCUCACCAAUUGGAUUGAGCCUUUAUAACAGUCAUAUAUCCAGAUAUAAAAGGUUAAAUACUUUGAUGGAUUUUAAUUUGUAAUUACAUUUCAGAUGGUUGGGAGUCACAGUUCUCCAUCCUAAGCAAUUCUUAUGAAUGUUUUACUUUUUCUGAAUGUUAAAGCUGAAAAUGUUUUACUUAAUUAUUUUUUUACUUAAUUAGUUUUACAUUUUUACAUUUAUCCCCUUUAUUGCAGAAUAUAUCUGCUCACACUCCAGCUGACUGGUAUAGCAUGUAAAUUACACAAACUUUAAUUUCAGCUACAAAUAUAUAUGAUAUAUGUUAUAGUUAACAUUAGUUAAAGUAAUUAUUCAUAUAUAUAUCUGAUCUCAGCAAAAGAGCGAGAAGCUUAAAUAGCAUUCCCUGCUUUUUCCUGAAUGUAUUGCUUUGAAAUACCUCCAUUGCGGCUUGUGUGAAUAAAAGCAUUUUCACUUUCUCAUACAUCGACUUUUAAAACCACUUGCAGCUAAUACAUUAAAACAUUUGGAGUGUUGACCUCAAGCUCCCAGAUUGUACAGCGAUGAAAAAUAACUUGGCUCUUUACAAAUAAAGUAUAAUGAAAUUAUUUAGCAACAUAAAGAAAAAUGAAAAGCUAAAAUAAAAGUGGAUUUUAUUUGGCCUAUAUUUUUCUAUAUUUACCAUACAAAUGUUAGACAUGUUUCAUUCUUUGACAUGUUUUCACCCCAAAUCUCCUGCAUUGAGCUGAAAUUUUGACUUACACACUUUUAGGGAAAAACUAAAUAUUUAGAAAAGUAUUUUAUUUGUUUUAAUUAAGGAAAUCUUAUUAAAAAAUAACAGCUUGAAGCAUGUCAGUCAGUGUUUUGAAUGUUCCAAUUUAAAUAAAGGUGUCUGGACACUCAAAGAGGUUUUAGAGAGCAAUCUUUAUUGAGUCAAAGCAACAUUUUGGCUCUUUGGCUCUUUGCUGGAGUCUUUAUCAAGCAUGCUAAAAGCUCUUUGUGUGCCCAGACAGAUUUUCUUUUUAAAUUGAAGCUUUGCUUUUGAGUCUCACUAGGCUGGUACUCCUAAACAUGGGGGUUCCCCUCCUGUAUUUAGAUAUCAUAGUCUUAUGAAUGUUAUGAGACAAGAAUAAGAGAAUCGCAAGACAUAAUAUUCAUGUAGAUUAUUACAGGAAAAUUGCAAGCACCAUAGCCAUUCCAGCAUGCUGUAGUGGUUAUAGUACCAGGAUUGCUCUGACGCCCCCUCAAUGCAAUCCGCCAAACUGUGUGCUGAUGUUUUUACAUCUUACCUGGGGUCCUGCUGGAUGCUAGACUCUCUGCUAGCGGUUUCUGUUUGCUCUUCUGAGCUAAGCUCUGCGGUGCAGGGCCAGCUAAUUGGCUGUGAGCAUCAGCUGAUCACUCUCAGCCACUGGGCUAAAUCCUGGACUGCUUUGCCUAGAUCCGUGAAAAGAGCCUACAAACGCAUAGAGGCCAGGAACAGCACCAUCAGACCACAGGUAAGAAGUCAAAUUGUUAUCUAAUGGUUUGACUAGUUGCAUCGGGUGGCACCAGGGCACUCCUAGUACCAUAACCACUACAGUAACCUGUAUUUGUUAUGGUGCUUGGUGUAGCCCUUUAAUGGAUAAAUACCUAAAAGCUUCUAAAAACUAAUCAGACAGAUUAAAUGGCAAUCAGUAUAACAUAGAUAUAAUACCUCACAUGCAUUAUUCACACCUGCGUCAGUCAUUGUUACUUAUAUUACCACUGACAUCUAAGCCAAUAAUAGUCAGUUUCUGGCAGUUUCAUUGUGGUGGACUGUAACUCCUAGGAUGCUUACACCGGAUCAUAUCGUCACAUUGCUUUUAUUUUAAUACUACCUGUUGUUAGAUGUUUUAGUGGUAAAGAGAAAGAAAUAUUGAAAAUGUAAAACAGAUUUAUUUGAAGGACAAACUAGUUAUUGGACAAUGUUCUACGUGUGAAACAAUCACCAUAGAAACUGACUGACUAUACAUAAUGAAUCCUUAAAUAUUGUAACAAUGUCCUAGUAUUGCUCUUCAUGUACAAUCCUUACAUUCCCCAAUAAUGAAACUAUUAGAUCAAGAUUGUACGUAUUGUACCACAUCUUAACUAAAUGACCAGAAUGUACUUGCAUAAAUAGCCCUUUAUACACUAAGAUUCUUACCGAAGAUUCUUCUUGUGUUUCAAUAUAUAUAUAAUGUCUCCCAUAUUAAAUAUGUUUUAUUAAUAUUUUAAGUGCUUUCUCUGCAUGCAUACAAACUUAGUGAUAAAUGUAAUUGAAAAGUAAUUGUGUGGAUAAUUAUGUUCUAUUUUGUGUUUGUCUAGCAACCAACGUGAUUUUAGUUUGAUGUCUAGUCGAGUUACAUUUUAGCACCAUUCUAUGUUCUAUUAUGGCACAUUCUAAACAAAAUUUGAGGUAUCAGGCAUAAUAUUUGAGGUCAUGUUUCAGUUGUACACGUUACAUCUCUAGCAAGUGCUUGGGAUAUAUCAUCCUCGUGUAGCUCAUGUGUAUCAUCUGAAAAGUUGUCACUUUCUCAACCCUUUGAAGCUCCUUUAAAUAACAUAUAUUGCCUCAUCGAGGAAACAUAUAUAGUUAUUCUAAUGAAUUAAUAAAGUACAUUAAUUGGCUUAUGAAUUGUGGGGAAUAAAUAUGCAGUAUGACAUGGAAUCUGUGGGUACAUUCCACUUGUUUCUAUGGUGAUUGCUCUUAAUUUAGAACUUUGCCCACUUUGUAUUAGUUAAAUAAAUAUAAAUCACUUUUAAUGUACUAUACUUUGAUGGACUCAAAAGUCCUACAAGAGCACAGUGGUAUUUAAUUAAUGAAUUUAUUUUAAAUGCACCAAUCACCAGAAGGAAUCUAAAUAGUGUUAGGACGUGCAUUAAUACAACAAAAAUGAAGCAAUGAUUAUAGCUACCUCAAGGGAAAUUAUAUAAUAGAAAAAAAGCAUGUUAAUGGAAAAAAGGAAUGCUCUCUGGCCUGAAGAAUUAAUUAUGAAAAUAUAAAAUGAUCUUGGAAUUGUUGUUUUUUUCUGUUAUAGUCUUAUUGUUUGUAUAAAAGGAAUUAAGCACCACCAUUACCAAAUUUAAAUAUGUUUAUGGUUACAUGGCUAAUGAUCACUGAUUUGCAAUUUUUAGAAUUAAUUUGUGAAAGCUAUGCUAAGAUCCUGACUUAUCCAUGCCAUACCAAAAGCAUGUUCAUAUUAUUUUUUUUAAAUUCUGUCAUUGAUGGAGUGAGCAUAUUUCAGAAGUAAAACAUUUUUCAAGACUGUCCAAGUUUCAGCACUGUACUACAGUAAUCGUUGUUUUUAUUUGCUUUUUGACUGUUAAAAAACAGUCAAAAAGUAAAUCUAACUUUGUCGCAAAAAGUUUUGUGAAUUGUAAAUGCUGUAACAUCUAAUAAUAUCUUUGUACAUGCAGCAGCUACAUAUCAUAUCUCAAAAUUAAAUUUUUUAUUUUAUAUGUAUUGUGAAUUAUUUUCCCUCCACAUGCAGAAAGUUGGCCAUAAUUAUGCUUACAGUACGUGCUUCCUCGAUAUGGAACAAAGUUGCAUUUUAUAAACAGGAAAUGCAUCCUAGUGGCACUGUCACUUCCUGUCAGAGGUGAAGAGACUACCGCAGUAAGGCAAUCAUCACAGUAACAUCCUGAAAACAGAAAACUUGAAGAAAAAGGACUUAUAGCACCCUUAAUGGAAACAUAAUACCUUACAAGACAAAUCUUAUGAUAUAUAUAUUUUUUUUAAUCAUGUGGGUUAUUUUGUGAUUUAGGAAUAUUUCGGAAACGGAUUAAUAUGUACAAUGUAACAUUUCCAGUUUAAGGUAUCUGCAUUUUUAUGCAAAGUUUCCCUCAAGUGGACAUGUCCACUGUUAUGGCGGCACCCAGGGGACAGUCGGUAGGUAGAUAAAAUUAAGUGAACUUCUCCCUCCUUGGCAAUGCCAUCUUUCUCUCUAGUCUGCCAGGAGUCCACAUCUCUUGUGCAUUCUCACACAUUAAAAAAUAGAAAACCCAGAAUACAAUAAGAUUGUGGGCUAUUUCUCGGGUCAUUUUGCACAUGUACACUGAGAUGCCAUCAUGAGCAACCUGCCUUAAUAUCAUCCCUUUGCCAUCGUUUGCCAAAAAAAAAAAAAUGUACUAUACCUCAUAUAUAUAUUUUCUAAUUUUGUUGGAAUGUCAAUGAAUUUCCAAUGCAGUCUUUUUUCCCAUUAUAAAUGCAUUGCUAUUAAAUAUUAAAAAGUGACAGUGCUGCUUUUAGUGAUUUCCACACAAACACACACAGUAGUAUGUACCUCAGCUUCUUGAAAACAGGAACCUUUUACUCUGUCAGACAAGCAUAAAUCAGACGUUGGUAGGUUUUCCAUUUGGUUUGAAAUAUUGCCAAUGGGGAGAAAAAUGUGGAAAUCAGUUACUUUUUUAACUAGUUUACAACAUAAUAAUUUGUCUAUCCCCUGUCAUUAAAUAGUUUGUAUAAAUUUAAAUAAUUUAUGUCUGUAUGUGGGCUGUUUAUUAGUAUGUGACUUUUUGUUUAUUUAGUUUCAUAUUGUGUAUGAUGUUCAUUUUCGUCACAGUGAACUAUGGUCUCCUGAAUUCUUGAAAAACAAAUGAUACAGUCAUUCAUAUGUUAAAUCAUAAAAAUGCCAAAUGAUAUACUAACCUCCAUGUCGUAAUAACAAAACUUGGUUGCAUUUAUAGAAGUGUUAUAUUUAGGUAGUAUGCUAUUUCAGACUGUUUAUCACUAAACAUGAAAUGUAAAAUAAAACAUGGAGGUUUU